This 522-nucleotide ribosomal RNA is filed under the name uncultured eukaryote. RNAcentral describes it as "SSU rRNA". It matches the Rfam family "Eukaryotic small subunit ribosomal RNA", at positions 569 to 1097 of the family's 1831-position model. The record is from RNAcentral.
AGCAGCCGCGGUAAUCCAGCUCCAAUAGCGUAUAUUAAAGUUGUUGCAGUUAAAAAGCUCGUAGUUGAACUUCAGACCUGGCUGGGCGGUCUGCCUAACGGUAUGUACUGUCCGGCUGGGUCUUACCUCUUGGUGAGCCGGCAUGCCCUUCACUGGGUGUGUCGGGGAACCAGGACUUUUACCUUGAGAAAAUUAGAGUGUUCAAAGCAGGCUUAUGCCCGAAUACAUUAGCAUGGAAUAAUAAAAUAGGACGUGCGGUUCUAUUUUGUUGGUUUCUAGAGUCGCCGUAAUGAUUAAUAGGGAUAGUUGGGGGCAUUAGUAUUCCGUUGCUAGAGGUGAAAUUCUUGGAUUUACGGAAGACUAACUAUUGCGAAAGCAUUUGCCAAGGAUGUUUUCAUUAAUCAAGAACGAAGGUUAGGGGAUCGAAAACGAUCAGAUACCGUUGUAGUCUUAACAGUAAACUAUGCCGACUAGGGAUCGGGCGAACUCAAUUUGAUGUGUCGCUCGGCACCUUACGAGAAA